RNAcentral lists this long non-coding RNA (415 nucleotides) under Gallus gallus (chicken). RNAcentral describes it as "lncRNA (ENSGALG00010008675.1)". The record is from RNAcentral. Lineage: Eukaryota; Metazoa; Chordata; Aves; Galliformes; Phasianidae.
GGCAGGCAGCACCUAGCUCUCUGCACUGCAGCAGGGCCACCGAGGAUCUUCCCUCUUGCCUGUGCAGUGUCAGCGCAGCCCUGGAUGAAUUUCCAGGGGCUUCUGACAAAGAGCUGGCCUAAGGAUGUCCUCGCACAGAACCCAGAAGAUUAAAACCUUAAGACCGGUACUUGUUGAAGCGGUCACUAAGUGUACGAAGACUAGUGAAAACAGUCACUGAAUGCAUCUCUUCUUCAGCCUGUUUGAAAUAGAUAAAGGCACAAGAGCGAGACGAGCUUUUAAACCGAACGCUUGCAGCCUACUUGGAGCACUCACAAUCAGUGCAGACGUAGUCUUCAAUUCUGAUUUUAGUUUUCUCAAGGUGGCCUUGGAGGGAGCAAAUUCACCAGUUCUUACACCUACUGUGCCUGCACCC